This 1365-nucleotide long non-coding RNA is filed under the name Vigna radiata. Its description in RNAcentral is "long non-coding RNA (VRAD_LNC010354)". The record is from RNAcentral. Lineage: Eukaryota; Viridiplantae; Streptophyta; Magnoliopsida; Fabales; Fabaceae.
GGGAGAACUAGGUGGGUGGCUGUAGGGGAGAAAACCAACUUCAAUCGAACACGAUGUUCCUGUUUUUGUAUGCCAGCAAAAUGCAAUUAAAGUCUGAAAGCACCAAAGCUAGAUCCAAACACACAAUGAGAUAUUAAAAACCCACCUUCGCGCAAGGGGCUAACUGUGUGCUUGUGUGUGCUCCGAGAACGGAGAGAUGAAGACGAAAGCAAGAGGGAGAGGGAAACGCGACAAUGCCUGGACGAUUGGACGACUGUCUGUGUGCGAAGUGGUCUGCGAGAAUGGAGUGAGGAAGAGGAAAGCAGUGUGUUGUGCGAGGAUGGAGUGUUAUGUGAAAAUGGAGAGAGCAAGGGGAAAAUGAGAGGGAAGUUAAUAAUGAGAUGCGAGAGAGGAAAUGAGAUGCGAGAGAGAAGAUAUAUGUGUGCAUGCACUGCUACAAAAGGAAUUUUUGACCACUUUAGUUUUUUAAAAUAUUCAAACUAUUUUAUUUACUUAGUAAGUUAGACAUUUUGGAAAAAUUUAGAAGUGUAGGACGAAGGAAUUGGAGGUGAAGGGCGAAACACCCAAAAAAUUAUCAUCUAUUGUUUGUUUGAUUUUUUGUUACAUAACCAUAACCAUAUCAGUGACAAUUAGAGAAAGUAAAGUAAAAGCACGAUAAUGAAAAUUGAAGACAACAAAGAAGAAUGGAAGACGCAAACAAAACUAGUGUGAAGCUGUCGAAGUUAGGAUAAAAGGAUAACAUAAUCAGUGUUAAGCUAUCUUUCCACCUUCAUAUCACGAAUAAGGGAGAUCAAAGAGCGAAAAUUGUCACAAAUCUGUCUUCACAAGUUCACGAACACUCAAAUUCUUCACUUUUGUUUGAUUAACUAUAUUACAUUAAGGGAUAUAAACUCACAUCAUUAUUAGUGUACGUAGCCUUUACCAAUUAGCAAAAAGGAAGAAUCAGAAGAUUAAACCGAAAGAAAACUCGCAAAGUAACUUGUUAUUUUUAAAGGGAAAUGAUACUUUGACAUCCAGAAUUUGAUAAAUUUUUUACGCCACCAUGUGUCAAAUUUUGGGUGGUCCACGUGUUUAAUAAAAAAAACGGUUGAAUGACGUGGAUUAAGAAUUAGGAGGGAGCCUGAAGAGUGCGUUCCAUUUUGAGAUUUGAAAAUAGCAUUGAGAUUUUGGUUUCGAAAACCCUAGAGAGAGAAGCACCCACGCCAUCGAGAACCGCUCGACGGAGUUUCCACUGUCAGUUGCAAAAAGUGCAUUGUUCAACAGUUACCGGAGGGCAUUCUGCCGCUGUGCCGCCAAUUGGAACGUGCUCAGCCCUCGAAAAAUUAGUCCCGUGAAGUAAUCCCUUUCGCUCGCAUGUCUUCCCAC